AAAUGACUCUCGGCAACGGAUAUCUCGGCUCUUGCAUCGAUGAAGAACGUAGCGAAAUGCGAUACUUGGUGUGAAUUGCAGAAUCCCGUGAACCAUCGAGUCUUUGAACGCAAGUUGCGCCCGAAGCCGUUAGGUUGAGGGCACGCCUGCCUGGGUGUCACAC
This 163-nucleotide ribosomal RNA is filed under the name Vigna gazensis. RNAcentral describes it as "5.8S ribosomal RNA". It matches the Rfam family "5.8S ribosomal RNA". From Rfam's summary of the family: 5.8S ribosomal RNA (5.8S rRNA) is a component of the large subunit of the eukaryotic ribosome. The record is from RNAcentral. Lineage: Eukaryota; Viridiplantae; Streptophyta; Magnoliopsida; Fabales; Fabaceae.